RNAcentral lists this ribosomal RNA (433 nucleotides) under uncultured bacterium. RNAcentral describes it as "bacterial SSU rRNA". It matches the Rfam family "Bacterial small subunit ribosomal RNA", at positions 28 to 507 of the family's 1533-position model. The record is from RNAcentral.
GACGAACGCUGGCGGCAUGCCUAACACAUGCAAGUCGAACGAACCCUUCGGGGUUAGUGGCGCACGGGUGCGUAACACGUGGGAAUCUGCCCUUUGCUUCGGAAUAACAGUUAGAAAUGACUGCUAAUACCGGAUAAUGUCUUCGGACCAAAGAUUUAUCGGCAAAGGAUGAGCCCGCGUAGGAUUAGCUUGUUGGUGAGGUAAAGGCUCACCAAGGCGACGAUCCUUAGCUGGUCUGAGAGGAUGAUCAGCCACACUGGGACUGAGACACGGCCCAGACUCCUACGGGAGGCAGCAGUGGGGAAUAUUGGACAAUGGGCGAAAGCCUGAUCCAGCAAUGCCGCGUGAGUGAUGAAGGCCUUAGGGUUGUAAAGCUCUUUUACCAGGGAUGAUAAUGACAGUACCUGGAGAAUAAGCUCCGGCUAACUACGUG